CCCUGCGCGUUGCCUUACAGACAGGAACCGGUAACGCCAAAAAUCCUAACGCAAAAGUCAGUUUGAAUGUGUCCUGCCAGCAGUAACACUGCAGCUGUGUUAACAUACUCCUAAAUUAAGUUAUACGUAGAAAGAAUAUGUGUUGUAAAGAAUAUACUGAGUUUGAGAAAGGAGAGGGAGAGGCUGGGUCCGAUGAAAAUUAACAAGAAGAUUUAAAGGCAGGGUAGGUAAAUAUGACAAACUAGCAAGAAAUUGCCGGAUUUUUGAAAGUAUCCAACAGAGAAACUCCCACCGCCGCCCUUCUGGGCUCCUUUCAAAGCCACGCCCCCCAAAUACGUGAACGCGCGUUGCCGACUGCCGGAGGACGAGCACAGUGUGACGAGCGGAGGACAGCGCGAUGCAGGCUCACAUCAGGGAGCUUCCACGGUGACAGCAUUAUUGUCUCUGAUGAGAACUGCACUCCAGAGCCAAGCACAGACCGGGACAGGACCGGGACCGGCCUGGGGUCGAGGCGAAGCAGAGGAGGGAGGGCUGCCGGGGUCCGAGGAAGAAGAGGCAGGACGGGAAGGACGAGGUGCAAGCCGAGCAGCACAUACCAGCGUCGAGUACUCCAAAAACAAAUUUUUCCCAGUGUACUUGUUUCAGAGAUUCUCAGGUGUUGUGGACAACAUCCAGAUUACAGUGUUUCCAUACACCACACAUGGCUGAUCUUCCAGACCCAGGACAGAGUAACAGACAGUUUGUAGUGUGGCAGU
Micropterus dolomieu (smallmouth bass) is the source of this 755-nucleotide long non-coding RNA. RefSeq lists it as uncharacterized. The record is from RefSeq and is a predicted model, not a curated record. The transcript is spliced from 3 exons. Lineage: Eukaryota; Metazoa; Chordata; Actinopteri; Centrarchiformes; Centrarchidae.